Non-coding RNA from Halanaerobium kushneri, 37 nucleotides. Lineage: Bacteria; Bacillati; Bacillota; Clostridia; Halanaerobiales; Halanaerobiaceae. The record is from Rfam.
GUUCCAGUGACUAAUCCAUUAGAAUAAGGAUUGAAAC